GCUGGAUCUUCAUUAUCUAAUUCACCGUCAAUUUCUUCAAGCGGAGGAGGAUUCCCAGCAAUUGCAUUCGAUAUAAACGAUGGGAGGAUUCUGUUGGCGCUACCGGAGAUAAUACGGUAUGCCGGAUCAACCAGUUUCGAUAACCAGCUAGUCCGACCAGACUGGUUCAAUGGUGGACGGUCGUAAGGAGUCGCCGGAGGUUUCCUCGCGGACGGUUUCUUAAACUUCCCGCCG
RNAcentral lists this unclassified non-coding RNA (234 nucleotides) under Hevea brasiliensis (rubber tree). Lineage: Eukaryota; Viridiplantae; Streptophyta; Magnoliopsida; Malpighiales; Euphorbiaceae. The record is from RNAcentral.